GGUGAACGCUAGCAGGAAGCCUAACACAUGCAAGUCGAGCGGCUCUUGUCGAACUGAUUAUGAUUACUUCGGUAUAAAUUUGAUGAUUGACGCUGAGCAGCGGCAAACGGGUGAGUAACACGUAUCUAACUUGCCUUCAAGCGGGGAACAACUUCGGAAACGUCGCUAAUUCCCCAUAAUACCAUUCUACUGAAAAAAGUUUGGUCAAAGAUUUAUCGCUUGAAGAGAGGGAUGCGCUCUACUAGAUAGUUGGUGAGGUAACGGCUCACCAAGUCAAUGAUGGAUAACCGGUCUGAGAGGAUGAACGGUCACAACGGAACUGAGAUACGGUCCGUACCCCUACGGGGGGCAGCAGUGGGGAAUCUUGGACAAUGGACGAAAGUCUGAUCCAGCUAUCCUGCGUGGUGGAUGACGCUUUAAGGAGUGUAAACACCUUUUGUGGAGGAAGACGAAUGACGGUACUCCACGAAUAAGGGACGGCUAACUACG
Molecule: ribosomal RNA, 489 nt
Filed under: uncultured bacterium
Lineage: Bacteria
Description: bacterial SSU rRNA
Rfam family: Bacterial small subunit ribosomal RNA
Source: RNAcentral